RNAcentral lists this unclassified non-coding RNA (146 nucleotides) under soil metagenome. RNAcentral's name for it is "partial internal transcribed spacer 1". The record is from RNAcentral.
UAAUAAGUGUUUUAUGGCACUUUUUAAAUCCAUAUCCACCUUGUGUGCAAUGUCAGCCGAUCUUCUUCAUGGAGAUCGACCAAACAUCAACCUUUAUUUUUUAACUCUUUGUCUGAAAAAUAUUAUGAAUAAACAAUUCAAAAUAC